Molecule: long non-coding RNA, 396 nt
Filed under: Gallus gallus (chicken)
Lineage: Eukaryota; Metazoa; Chordata; Aves; Galliformes; Phasianidae
Description: lncRNA (ENSGALG00010004737.1)
Source: RNAcentral
AUGCAUACCAAAAAACAAGUAUAGAUUUUCCUGUGGUAAUUUCACUGAAGUACAGGGCAGGGAGCAAAAUCCUUACCUUGGAGUUGCCGUCCCAGGCAAGCAGCGCUGUCGGAGCUAGCUGCCCUAGGAGCUGGGCUGCAUGGCAAUGCCACAGCCAGCCAUGCUUUGUGUGAGUGCCCUAAUUGGAAGUGCCAGGUCUCAUCCAUCCAGCAAAGCGUGCAGCGAGCAGAGUUGCCUGCCUGGGCUCGGAACUGUCCUACUACGCUCCUGGCUGAGAAAGGAACUGUAAUCACACCCCUACAAUAUAGGCAACUGCUUGAGGAAAGCUGGAGGAGAGUCUUCUUCGAAAAUGUUAUGAGGAUAGACUCUUCUUUCCAAUAACAGCUAUCCAUGGGC